AUUGAACGCUGGCGGCAGGCCUAACACAUGCAAGUCGAGCGGGGUUUUCGGACCUAGCGGCGGACGGGUGAGUAAUGCGUAGGAAGCUACCCGAUAGAGGGGGAUACCAGUUGGAAACGACUGUUAAUACCGCAUAAUGUCUACGGACCAAAGUGUGGGACCUUCGGGCCACAUGCUAUCGGAUGCGCCUACGUGGGAUUAGCUAGUUGGUGGGGUAAUGGCUCACCAAGGCGACGAUCCCUAGCUGGUUUGAGAGGAUGAACAGCCACACUGGAACUGAGGCACGGCCCAGACUCCUACGGGAGGCAGCAGUGGGGAAUAUUGGACAAUGGGCGAAAGCCUGAUCCAGCAAUGCCGCGUGAGUGAUGAAGGCCUUAGGGUUGUAAAGCUCUUUUACCCGGGAUGAUAAUGACAGUACCGGAGAAUAAGCUCCGGCUAACUCCGUGCCAGCAGCCGCGGUAAUGUGACUACUG
RNAcentral lists this ribosomal RNA (473 nucleotides) under uncultured bacterium. Its description in RNAcentral is "bacterial SSU rRNA". It matches the Rfam family "Bacterial small subunit ribosomal RNA", at positions 30 to 534 of the family's 1533-position model. The record is from RNAcentral.